This 115-nucleotide transfer RNA is filed under the name Colletotrichum acutatum. Its description in RNAcentral is "tRNA-Leu". It matches the Rfam family "tRNA". From Rfam's summary of the family: Transfer RNA (tRNA) molecules are approximately 80 nucleotides in length. Their secondary structure includes four short double-helical elements and three loops (D, anti-codon, and T loops). Further hydrogen bonds mediate the characteristic L-shaped molecular structure. tRNAs have two regions of fundamental functional importance: the anti-codon, which is responsible for specific mRNA codon recognition, and the 3' end, to which the tRNAs corresponding amino acid is attached (by aminoacyl-tRNA synthetases). tRNAs cope with the degeneracy of the genetic code in two manners: having more than one tRNA (with a specific anti-codon) for a particular amino acid; and 'wobble' base-pairing, i.e. permitting non-standard base-pairing at the 3rd anti-codon position. Lineage: Eukaryota; Fungi; Ascomycota; Sordariomycetes; Glomerellales; Glomerellaceae. RNAcentral also lists the same sequence under 3 other names. The record is from RNAcentral.
GGUAACUUGGCCGAGCGGUCUAAGGCGCCAGACUCAAGCUUCAAAAGCUUCAUCCGUCCAACGGAUGAGCAUUCUGGUCUCGCAAGAGGCGUGAGUUCGAAUCUCACAGUUAUCA